GUUCUUCGUGCUUGCCCGUUCCGACCCAGACCCAAAGACCGCAGCAGGAAAAGCCUUCACCGCAUUUGUCGUUGAAGGGGACACCCCAGGACUCACCAGAGGACGCAAGGAGAUCAACAUGGGACAACGAUGUUCAGACACCCGUGGUAUUACCUUCGAAGACGUCCGUGUUCCAGCCGCCAACGUCGUCGGAGCCCCAGGAGAGGGAUUCAAGGUCGCCAUGAAGACAUUCGACAAAACCCGGCCAACUGUUGCAGCACUUGCCACCGGAGUUGCUUACCGCUGCUUGGACGUCGCCACACAGUAUUCUCUGGAGAGAAAAGCGUUUGGAACGCAAAUUGCCAACCAUCAAGGAGUGUCGUUCUUGCUUGCCGAGAUGGCCAUCAAUUGUGAGCUCGCUAGAUUGAUGACCUACAAGAGUGGUGCAGAGGUAGGUCAAGCAGAAUCAAAUCAAGCUUUUUGAAGGAUAAAAUGUUUAUGUUAAAAUGGGAGGCGCCCCGUAAAUUUACAAGUCCGCAAACACCAUGACGCAUUUGAUGCAGCAGGCAGAACAUCACAGUGAUGUACAUAGGAAUAUGAGCAUAAAAUCGGUACUAUUAUAGGAAAUUACAAAACGCUAUACGAACUUCAAAUGCUGAUUAAACUUAGAAAAGAUUGGUCAGCACGCUAAUUGCCAGCCAUUUUCUGCAGAAACACACUCAAACUAUCAUAAUUUCCCUCACUCUUCCAGGUUGACGCUGGCCGCCCAGGAUCCUACUACGCUUCGAUCGCCAAGCUCUUCGCUUCCGACACUGCCAACCAAGCCGCCACAAAUGCUGUGCAAAUCUUUGGAGGAGCUGGUUUCAACACUGAAUACCCAGCGGAGAAGCUGAUGCGUGACGCCAAGAUCUUCCAAAUCUACGAGGGAACUUCGCAAAUUCAACGCAUGGUCAUUGCUCGUCAGUUGCUCGCUCGAGUCGCUCAGAAUGGAGGAUAUUAGCACGCCACCCGUUUUUCCCCGUUUGAUCACAGUUUUGUACAAAACACUGGUAUAUUUUGUAAUUGUAAAUGAUUUGAAAAAAAAAGAAACAGUUUUGAUUUACUUGCUUUUUUUAUUUACUUUUCGCACUUUACGGUUUGUCACCGUGUUACAUAUUUUUGUAUUGUUUUUUGGUUGUUUUUUUUUAAUUCUCAGGUUUUAAUUCAAAAGUUGCAGGUUAAAUAUGCUUUCCCGAAUUGCAACAUCAUCGCUGGGGCUUUCCCGCUCUGCAACCGGAGUCAUUGCCACUCAAUCUCGUCAAAUUUCUUUUGGUAAGUUGAAUAUACUUUUGGCAACUUAUCCAAAGUAAUCUAGAUUUUAGUAGCUCUUGAGAAUAGACAGAGCAAAACUAAAUAACUGUACGAAACUUAAUUUGACAAUUUUCAGACCUCAGCGAAACCCAAAAGGAGAUUCAAGACGCCGCUCUCAAGUUCUCCAAGGAUGUUCUCGUCCCAAAUGCAGCCAAGUUUGACGAGAGCGGAGAGUUUCCAUGGGAAAUUGUCCGACAGGCUCAUAGCCUUGGACUCAUGAACCCACAGAUUCCGGAGAAGUAUGGUGGCCCAGGAAUGACCACUCUUGAGACUGCCCUCAUUGUUGAAGCUUUGUCCUAUGGAUGCACUGGUAUUCAACUUGGUAUCAUGGGACCAUCUCUUGCCAUUGCUCCUGUCUACAUCUCUGGAAAUGAGGAACAGAAGAAGAAGUAUCUUGGAGCACUCGCUGCGGAGCCAAUUAUUGCUUCGUACUGUGUGACUGAACCAGGUGCUGGAUCUGAUGUCAACGGAGUUAAGACCAAGUGUGAGAAGAAGGGUGAUGAGUACAUUAUUAAUGGAUCCAAAGCCUGGAUUACCGGGGGAGGACAUGCUAAAUGG
Molecule: small RNA, 1887 nt
Filed under: Caenorhabditis elegans
Lineage: Eukaryota; Metazoa; Nematoda; Chromadorea; Rhabditida; Rhabditidae
Description: Unclassified non-coding RNA T25G12.16
Source: RNAcentral